Molecule: long non-coding RNA, 2870 nt
Organism: Rhincodon typus (whale shark)
Lineage: Eukaryota; Metazoa; Chordata; Chondrichthyes; Orectolobiformes; Rhincodontidae
Exons: 2
Source: RefSeq, a predicted model, not a curated record
GAUGUUGACAUUGCUGACUUGGCCAACAUGUAUUGCACAACUAUAAUUGCCCAGAGGGCAGUUAAGACUCAACCACAUUGCUGUGGGUCUGAAACCAUAUGUAGGCCACACCAGAUUGUGGUCACCGCUGGCUUAUCUAGUGUUGGGUCCCCAUUUCUCAUUGCCUUUGAGAUGAAGUGGCAGGCUGCCUUGUUGAACCACUGUAGUCUAUGGAAGACAACAAGGUGCAGGGCUGGAUGAACACAGCAGGCCAAGCAGCAUCAUAGGAGCAGAAAGGCUGACGUUUCGGGCCUAGACCAUGGAAGAUGGGCACAUGCCACAUGUAGGAACACGGAUAUAGUUCCAAAUCGGGAUGCUUUGUUGCUUGGAGAGAUACUUCUGGUAAUGGUGUUCCCUAGCAUCGGCUGCCCUUGAAGUUCUAGUUGGUACAUGUAACGAUGUGGAGGAUACUGUUUAAUGAGCGUUGGCAAGUUGUUAAAGUACAUUCUGUAAAAGGUACAUCCUGCUGCUGCCGUGCAUUGAUAGUGAAGAGACUGAAUGUGGAAGGUGGUUAAUAGGGUAUUAAUCAAGUGAGCUGCUUUUUCUCCUGGAUGGUGUUCAGCUUCUUAAGUGUUGUUGGAGCUGCACUCAUCCAGGCAACUGGAGAAUUUUCCACCACACUCUCAACUUGUACCUUGUAGACAGUGGACAGUCCCUGGGGAGACCAGAGGUAAGUUACUCAUCUGCCACAGAUCACAUGAUUUACAAGUUGGCCAAAGGUCUGGAUACACCUAACAAUUGAUUGGAGAAAGAUAUAGAAUUUUUUUUGUGUUGUUAAGUUGGUGGGCAUGCUUCAAAACAAAGAGUUCAGACGUUCAAUCUCUUAGCUUGGCCAGUAACAAAACAAACAGCUCAGAACUCAUUGUGGCUGGAAGUGCUAAAAACAACUAUCUACCUCUUAACCAAAAAGCAAAGAACUGUGAAUGUCAUAGAUCUGAAACAAAAACAGAAAUUGCUGGCAAAACUCAGCAGGUCUGGCAGCAUCAGUGGAGAGAAAGCAAAAUUAACAUUUUGAGUCUGAUGCUUCUUCGGAACUGUUCAAAAUUUUCAGAACUGUUCAAAAUUCAAAACAAAAAUUUAUUUCAACUCUGUUAACAUUCUCCGAGAGGACAGGUGAAAAUUAUUCAUGUAAUACCUUCUUUGUUCAUUCAAUAUUUCUUUCUUGAUCAUUAAUCAUAUGGUCAAGUUACCAUGGCCCCAAAAUUGGACAUUCUAAAUUGACCCACAGCUGGAGAAAUUAGGCCUGAUAGAAAAUUGGCCAAACUAAAUUAAACAGCACCUUUCAGCUACAGAGAACAAUGGAAGGUCAAAGUGGUUACAAAGGUUUAAGGAGAACCAAUUGCAAUGAGCCCAAGGGUUAUGUAUUAGAGAAGUAUCAAUCAGACGUUUUGGCAUUUUGACUGUCUGAGAAUGUACACUUUACAGCUCUCAGUGUGGCAACAGGGGAGAAUGUUGGCAGGACCCAUUUGAUGAUUUGCUCAUGACACCAUUGGCCAAUAGCCAUAGAACAUUCUGGAGAGUCUGAUGAGAAGGGGGUUAAGAACACACAUACCUGGAUUCCAGACCCUCAAUGAAGACUCAUCGAAGACUCACAAAGAAGAUUUACAGCAAGACUUGUGGCAAAAGACCAAGCUGCAACCUAAGAAGACCUGGGAGAAGAUCUGCCCUGACCUGCAAGGCCCACCUUUAUGGAAGAGAGCUAGCCCUACAUCGGAGAGGAAGGACAUUCCAAUGACCCAGCUCAAACAUGUGGAUCAUUGUGAGUAAUAUCCUCUUUCAGAUGGAUAGAGCUAGAUAGAGAGUAAGUAUGUCGGAAUUUGGGAAAUGAUUUAUUUUGAUUUUGAUUUUAUUGUCACAUGUACCGAAAUACAGUGAAAAGCUUUGUUUAUGAGCAGUACAGGCAGAUCACAGCAAGCAAAGGAUAUACAGAUCAAAAAGACAUACACGUUACAUUGCAGGUUACAUUAUUUGAGGCUAGAGCCCAUUCAACAGUCUGAUAAUGGCCGGAAAGAAGCUGUUCCUGAACUUGCUGGUGUAUGUGUUCAGGCUUCUGUAUCUUCUGCCUGAUCGAAUAAGUUGAAGGAAGUCACUACCAGGGUGUGGUGGGUCUUUGAUGAUGUUGGCCGCCUUUCCGUGGCAUCGAGUCAUAUAAAGAGCAUCCAUGGAAGGAAGGUUGGCUUCUGUGAUGGUUUGGGAUGCGCACAUAAUCUGUAGUUUCUUACAAUCCUGGGUGGAACAGUUACCAUACCAGCCCGUUAUGCACUCGGACAGUAUGCUUUCAGUGGUGCAUCUGUAGAAGUUGGUGAGGGACCUUAUGGACAUACCAAAUUUCCUGAGCUUCCCGAGGAAGAAGAGGCAUUGUUGUGCCUUCUUGACUGUCGCAUUUAUGUGGGAAGUCCAGGAUAUGUUGCUGGUUAUUGUCACUCCUAGGAACUUGAUGCUCUUCACUCUCUCAACCUCAGUUCUGUUGACGUAGAUGGGGGCAUGUUCUCCUCCUUUCUUUCUGAAGUCGAUGAUCAAUUCUUUAGUUCUGCUGAUGUUGAGAGACAGAUUGUUUUAAUUGCACCAUGUCACCAAGCCAUCUAUCUUCCUUCUGUAUUUUGACUUGUCCUUGUUAGAUAUCAGUCCCACUACGGUGGUGUCAUCAGCGAACUUGUAGGUGGCAUUUGUUCGCAAUGUGGCACCACAAUCGUAGGUGUGCAGGGAGUACAGUAGGGGGACUGAGGAUGCAUUCUUGGGGGGCUCUAGUGUUGAAUUUUAUUGUGGAGGAGGUGUUCACAUAAUGUUUUAAGAAGGAGUAUUUUAUUAAUAAAAUCAAUUAUGACCGCAAA